AGCAAAAAAAAAAAAAAAAGAAAGUAAGAAGAAGAAGAAGUAGAAACGGCAAAGGGAAGAAUGGGUUAGGACUUUGGGUAUCUCUGUCUCUGAGGGAAGAAGAAACGACAAAGGGAAGGAAUAAAUAGAGCCGGUGAAAGGAAGGAAUGAAGAAAUUGAGUCUGGCUGUCUCAUUACUCUCAUAUGGCUGACUUGAAAUAGAGACUGAGAGAAUUAUGGGAGAAGAGAAGGGUGGCG
Molecule: unclassified non-coding RNA, 237 nt
Filed under: Hevea brasiliensis (rubber tree)
Lineage: Eukaryota; Viridiplantae; Streptophyta; Magnoliopsida; Malpighiales; Euphorbiaceae
Source: RNAcentral